This 998-nucleotide long non-coding RNA is filed under the name Marmota monax (woodchuck). Lineage: Eukaryota; Metazoa; Chordata; Mammalia; Rodentia; Sciuridae. The record is from RNAcentral.
GAGCAAACAGCAGCCAUCAUGAGACAGGGAUGAAGUGCCCAGGAGCUGUUCUGGGCGUUCAUUGGUUGUCCUUAGUUUUCCUGGAACCAGGGUACUUUUGGUUAUGUGAGUCCACAUGCCCUUAAAAAUUGUAGCCUUUUGCUGAUAAAUCGAGUAGAAACAGAGACAAACAAAACAGCUUGAACUUACCUCCAAACCUGUACUGACCCAGUGAAACAACUCCUUGUUUCUGCUUUAUUGCAUAGAGAGAUAGUUUUAGUUCCCCUUUAGGGUCUCAGUAGAGAUUUCUUAGUGUUGCUGUGGGACAUGAAUUUCUUUCAGAGAAUGUGCCAUAAUGUGAAAUCUGUAAGAUCACUUAGUCAGUUGAUCCAAGUUCUUGUUCUCAUUCAUCCAUUUAACCCAGAGCAACUCCACUGUUCUCUGCCUCAGCUUCCUUGUCUGUAUGUGGUGUCGGGCAAAGUCGUCUCUCUGAGGACCCUUCCAGCUUUGAGAUUCUCUGAUGCCCAGUCCAGGAUACCAGUUCAAUGAAUAGUUUUUGUUUUGUUUUGUUUUGUUUAAGCAGUGAGGAUAAAUGUUAUGGGGUAUAAAUUUUAUCUCAAUAAAGAUUUUUUAAAAUAUUUAAUUUUUAUUUGUAGUUGGACACAAUACCUUUAUUUUUAUGUGGUGCUGAGGAUCGAAUCCAGGGCCUUGCACAUGCUAGGCGAGCACUCUACCGUUGAGCCACAACCCCAGCCCAUCAAUAAAGAUUUUUUAGCACCCCAGAUCAUUUGUUUUAUCAUAGAUUUCCUUCCAAACUCCUGGGGAAACAAAAUCUACUUAGAUUUCUUUUUCGUUUUCUUUUGUGGUGCUAGGGAUUGAACCCAGGGCCUUGUGCAUGUGAAGCAAGCACUCUAUCAAUUGAGCUAUAUCCCCAGCCCUAGUUAGAUUUCUUUAUGCAAGAAUUGUCUUUUGGUUUAUCUUGUUUUUCUUCUAUUUUUAUUGGUACAUUAUAAUUAUAC